RNAcentral lists this ribosomal RNA (253 nucleotides) under uncultured bacterium. RNAcentral's name for it is "partial 16S ribosomal RNA". It matches the Rfam family "Bacterial small subunit ribosomal RNA", at positions 524 to 776 of the family's 1533-position model. The record is from RNAcentral.
UACGAAGGUGGCAAGCGUUACUCGGAAUUACUAGGCGUAAAGGGCAGGUAGGUGGUCUGGUUAGUCUGUUGUGAAAGCUCCUUGCUUAACGGGGAGAGGUCAACAGAUACUGCCAGGCUUGAGUAUGGGAGAGGGUACUGGAAUUCCUGGUGUAGCGGUGAAAUGCGCAGAGAUCAGGAGGAACACCGAUGGCGAAAGCAGGUACCUGGACCAUUACUGACACUCAGCUGCGAAAGCUAGGGGAGCAAACAGG